This 1501-nucleotide unclassified non-coding RNA is filed under the name Hevea brasiliensis (rubber tree). The record is from RNAcentral. Lineage: Eukaryota; Viridiplantae; Streptophyta; Magnoliopsida; Malpighiales; Euphorbiaceae.
GGUGAAGUGAGCUUUUAUCUAAGAUUUUUCCAUUUCAAUGGCGACCAUCAAUGGCUUAACCUCACCACACCCCUUUCUCUCUCUACAAAAAUCCAACUCAAAGCCCUUUCUCUCUCUGUCAAAACCCAUGAAGUCUCAAUUCUUAUUCAAAGGUCUUAAACAGCAGAAUCAGCAGUUGAGAGAUUGGGCUGUAGUGGGUUCGGUAUCAAACGAAGCCGACGAGAUUCGGGUCCAAAGUUCUGACGUUAUGGACCAGCAAAAUGGGGUUGUAAUUGGGUUGGAAAGAGAACCGAAAUUAGGGGGCGGAGAUAUGGGUAUUGUAAAUCAGGUGGUGGGUGGGUUUGGAAAUGAAGGGAGGUUGUCGUUUGAAGGUGGUGGUGGGUUUUCUUCGGCAAGUGGUGUUGGUGGAUCAGAGAGUAAAGAGGAGGAUGUGGAGAAACUUAUUGAUAGAACUAUAAAUGCAACUAUUGUGUUAGCUGCUGGAUCUUUUGCUAUUACUAAAUUGCUCACUAUUGAUCAUGAUUACUGGCAUGGAUGGACCUUAUUUGAGAUAUUGAGAUAUGCACCUCAGCACAACUGGGUUGCAUACGAGGAAGCGCUUAAAAGAAAUCCAGUUUUGGCUAAAAUGGUUAUCAGUGGAGUGGUUUACUCUGUUGGGGAUUGGAUUGCACAGUGCUAUGAAGGGAAGCCUCUUUUUGAAAUCGAUCGUGCACGUAUGUUGAGAUCAGGCUUAGUUGGAUUCACGCUACAUGGAUCCCUCUCUCAUUAUUAUUAUCAGUUCUGUGAGGCACUGUUUCCAUUCGAAGAUUGGUGGGUGGUUCCUGUCAAGGUUGCCUUUGAUCAAACUGUUUGGUCAGCAAUUUGGAACAGCAUCUACUUCACAGUUUUGGGAAUUUUACGUCUUGAAUCCCCUCUUGCUAUUUUCAGUGAAUUGAAGGCUACGUUCUUGCCAAUGUUGACGGCUGGUUGGAAGCUGUGGCCAUUUGCUCAUCUAAUUACAUAUGGUGUAAUUCCGGUUGAACAAAGGCUUCUUUGGGUUGACUGUGUAGAACUCGUUUGGGUGACAAUACUCUCAACUUAUUCAAAUGAGAAAUCAGAAUCUAGAGUCUCUGAGGUGAUCGUAGAAGCAGAGGCGCAACCUCCCUCAGUAAGCCCACCACAGGAGUAAAUGAAUCGAAGAGCAAUGACACAACCAAAAUUUGAGGAAAUGUAUAGCUUUGAGGUGAUAUAGCUGCAGAUACUUGCUGUACCAUACGCUCAGUAAACGUCCUCUGAGAUACUCGUUUAUAAUUUAUGCAUACAGCACGCAGCCCUCCUUCCUCCGCGUAUGUACACAAAUUCUUUUAUAGUAAUUGUAAAAUAGUGCAAUCGCGACCUCUAACGUUCAUGCUGAAGUUUCUGUUGAAACUUCCAUAAUAGAAGUAUAUAGCUUAUAACAUAAUAUUAACUAUCUUUGAAGGAUCAUGAAAUAUGAAUGAAGUGAACUGGUGGUUCAAGCCUG